This 68-nucleotide transfer RNA is filed under the name Synapturanus sp. MZUSP 159221. RNAcentral's name for it is "tRNA-Asp". It matches the Rfam family "tRNA". Rfam says of the family: Transfer RNA (tRNA) molecules are approximately 80 nucleotides in length. The record is from RNAcentral. Lineage: Eukaryota; Metazoa; Chordata; Amphibia; Anura; Microhylidae.
AAGAUGUUAGUUAAUACAUAACACUGCCUUGUCAAGGCGUAAUUACAGAUUUAACCCUGUACAUCUUU